Molecule: long non-coding RNA, 361 nt
Organism: Myotis davidii
Lineage: Eukaryota; Metazoa; Chordata; Mammalia; Chiroptera; Vespertilionidae
Exons: 4
Source: RefSeq, a predicted model, not a curated record
AUUCUUUGAUCUUCCUUCUUCCCUAGGCUUACUGUUGGGCAUUACUUCAUAGGUGGCCAGAGAAGACAAAUAAAUGAGUGAAUGAGCCAUCAUGUUAUUUGGAAGCUGGAACUCAGGUAAUUUUGGACUUCUGCAUACAAACCAGAAAAGCGGAGCUGCCGUCCUGUUCAUUGGAAGCUGUGUCUACUUUAGCUAUUGGAGCUUGUCGUCGAAGAUUUUAUGAAGAAAGAAUGACUUACCAACUCCUAAAAUCAACAACUUCAAGGGCCCUCUGAAAAUCAGGGGUUACAAAGUUAACAUAAUGUUUUUGAAACUUCAUGCUGUUGCAUGUAAUUCAUUCAUCUUCUAGUUUGGGGGGUGA